CGGAACUAACAGAUUUACUUCGGUAAUGACGUUAGGAAAGCGAGCGGCGGAUGGGUGAGUAACACGUGGGGAACCUGCCCCAUAGUCUGGGAUACCACUUGGAAACAGGUGCUAAUACCGGAUAAGAAAGCAGAUCGCAUGAUCAGCUUUUAAAAGGCGGCGUAAGCUGUCGCUAUGGGAUGGCCCCGCGGUGCAUUAGCUAGUUGGUAAGGUAAAGGCUUACCAAGGCGAUGAUGCAUAGCCGAGUUGAGGGACUGAUCGGCCACAUUGGGACUGAGACACGGCCCAAACUCCUACGGGAGGCAGCAGUAGGGAAUCUUCCACAAUGGACGCAAGUCUGAUGGAGCAACGCCGCGUGAGUGAAGAAGGGUUUCGGAUCGUAAAGCUCUGUUGUUGGUGAAGAAGGAU
Molecule: ribosomal RNA, 408 nt
Filed under: uncultured Lactobacillus sp.
Lineage: Bacteria; Bacillati; Bacillota; Bacilli; Lactobacillales; Lactobacillaceae
Description: bacterial SSU rRNA
Rfam family: Bacterial small subunit ribosomal RNA
Source: RNAcentral